Molecule: transfer RNA, 76 nt
Filed under: Escherichia coli
Lineage: Bacteria; Pseudomonadati; Pseudomonadota; Gammaproteobacteria; Enterobacterales; Enterobacteriaceae
Also listed under: 3 other names
Description: tRNA-Gln
Rfam family: tRNA
About the family: Transfer RNA (tRNA) molecules are approximately 80 nucleotides in length. Their secondary structure includes four short double-helical elements and three loops (D, anti-codon, and T loops).
Source: RNAcentral
AGCAGUGUAGCAUAACUGGCAAUGCUCCAGCCUCUGAAGCUGAACGAUUAAGGUUCAAAUCCUUACGCUGCUGCCA